Molecule: ribosomal RNA, 329 nt
Filed under: uncultured Anaerolineaceae bacterium
Lineage: Bacteria; Bacillati; Chloroflexota; Anaerolineae; Anaerolineales; Anaerolineaceae
Description: bacterial SSU rRNA
Rfam family: Bacterial small subunit ribosomal RNA
Source: RNAcentral
UGUUGCAUGGCUGUCGUCAGCUCGUGUCGUGAGAUGUUCGGUUAAGUCCGCUAACGAGCGCAACCCUCGUCGUAUGUUAUAUGUGUCAUACGAGACUGCCGGUAAAAAGCCGGAGGAAGGUGAGGAUGAUGUCAAGUCAGCAUGACCUUUAUAUCCAGGGCUACACACACGCUACAAUGGUCUGUACAAUGGGUAGCCAAGCCGCGAGGCGGAGCCAAUCCUGAAAGCAGGCCUCAGUUCAGAUUGCAGUCUGCAACUCGACUGCAUGAAGCCGGAGUUGCUAGUAACCGCAGGUCAGCAAUACUGCGGUGAAUACGUUCCCGGGUCUU